Molecule: long non-coding RNA, 225 nt
Filed under: Vigna radiata
Lineage: Eukaryota; Viridiplantae; Streptophyta; Magnoliopsida; Fabales; Fabaceae
Description: long non-coding RNA (VRAD_LNC015228)
Source: RNAcentral
GGGUAUAGAAGAGGGUGGUGAGGGUGAAGAGUUGGAUGAGGGGGUACCUGCUGAUGGUGAGAGGAUAGAAGUUGUUGUCGGCCAGGCUGAGGAAGUUGUUGGUGAGGAUGUUGUAGUUGUUGGUGAGGGUAUAGAUGCUAUAGUUGUUGGUGAGGCUGAGGAAGUUCAUGGUGAGGAAAAUGAAAAUGAUGUUCAGAGGACAAAGGCAGCUGAAGUUGAACUUCA